This 387-nucleotide RNase P RNA is filed under the name uncultured Eubacterium sp. Its description in RNAcentral is "Bacterial RNase P class A". It matches the Rfam family "Bacterial RNase P class A". From Rfam's summary of the family: Ribonuclease P (RNase P) is a ubiquitous endoribonuclease, found in archaea, bacteria and eukarya as well as chloroplasts and mitochondria. Its best characterised activity is the generation of mature 5'-ends of tRNAs by cleaving the 5'-leader elements of precursor-tRNAs. Cellular RNase Ps are ribonucleoproteins. The record is from RNAcentral. Lineage: Bacteria; Bacillati; Bacillota; Clostridia; Eubacteriales; Eubacteriaceae.
AGCAGGACAGGUAAUCGCGCUAGAUCACUUUACGAUAGUAAAGUGGUCUAGUGAGGAAAGUCCGGGCUUCACAGGGCAGGAUGCCGGAUAACGUCCGGUUGAGGUGACUCACAGGAAAGUGCAACAGAAAACAUACCGCCACACUCCCGUCUGAUUCGUCAGCGGGAUAAGGGUAAGGUUGAAAAGGCGAGGUAAGAGCUCACCGCCUGGCUGGUAACAGACAGGGCAUUGUAAACCCCAUCCGAAGCAAGACCAAGCAGAAGUGUUGACGCGGCCCGCCGAGCUUCAGGUAGGUUGCUAGAGCCAUGCAGCAAUGUAUGGUCCAGAUAGAUGAUUACCCCGGAAGAUUUUCUUCUAUGACAUAACCCGGCUUAUAGUUCUACUCGU